GGCCUACGGGUGGCUGCAGUCGAGAAUCUUCGGCAAUGGGCGCAAGCCUGACCGAGCGAUGCCGCGUGCGGGAUGAAGGCCUUCGGGUUGUAAACCGCUGUCGUAGGGGAGCAAGGGGAAACCUUGAGCGAUCCUAGGAGGAAGGACGGGCUAAGUUCGUGCCAGCAGCCGCGGUAAUACGAACCGUCCAAACGUUAUUCGGAAUCACUGGGCUUAAAGAGUUCGUAGGCGGCUUGGAAAGUAGGGUGUGAAAUCCCACGGCUUAACCGUGGAACUGCGCCCUAAACUACCAAGCUUGAGGGAGCUAGAGGUAAGCGGAACUGAUGGUGGAGCGGUGAAAUGCGUUGAUAUCAUCAGGAACACCGGAGGCGAAGGCGGCUUACUGGGGCUUUUCUGACGCUGAGGAACGAAAGCCAGGGUAGCGAACGGGAUUAGAUACCCCGGUAGUCG
RNAcentral lists this ribosomal RNA (450 nucleotides) under uncultured Planctomycetaceae bacterium. Its description in RNAcentral is "bacterial SSU rRNA". It matches the Rfam family "Bacterial small subunit ribosomal RNA", at positions 335 to 796 of the family's 1533-position model. The record is from RNAcentral. Lineage: Bacteria; Pseudomonadati; Planctomycetota; Planctomycetia; Planctomycetales; Planctomycetaceae.